RNAcentral lists this transfer RNA (57 nucleotides) under Bacillus sp. UMB0893. RNAcentral's name for it is "tRNA-Phe". It matches the Rfam family "tRNA", at positions 1 to 55 of the family's 71-position model. From Rfam's summary of the family: Transfer RNA (tRNA) molecules are approximately 80 nucleotides in length. Their secondary structure includes four short double-helical elements and three loops (D, anti-codon, and T loops). Further hydrogen bonds mediate the characteristic L-shaped molecular structure. tRNAs have two regions of fundamental functional importance: the anti-codon, which is responsible for specific mRNA codon recognition, and the 3' end, to which the tRNAs corresponding amino acid is attached (by aminoacyl-tRNA synthetases). tRNAs cope with the degeneracy of the genetic code in two manners: having more than one tRNA (with a specific anti-codon) for a particular amino acid; and 'wobble' base-pairing, i.e. permitting non-standard base-pairing at the 3rd anti-codon position. The record is from RNAcentral. Lineage: Bacteria; Bacillati; Bacillota; Bacilli; Caryophanales; Bacillaceae.
GGCUCGGUAGCUCAGUCGGUAGAGCAAAGGACUGAAAAUCCUUGUGUCGGCGGUUCG